Molecule: long non-coding RNA, 319 nt
Organism: Pseudopipra pipra
Lineage: Eukaryota; Metazoa; Chordata; Aves; Passeriformes; Pipridae
Exons: 3
Source: RefSeq, a predicted model, not a curated record
ACAAGACGUCAGCCUCGUUUUGCAAGCACAGGCCCGAUUAGGACAAAUCAGAGACAGUCAUUGUGAUUCCGUGAGAAUCCAGUUGGAAGACAGAAUUAGAGGCCUCGAAAGUGAAUUGGACAGGGUAAAAAGAACCCAACAAGAGAGUGCUUCUCGUAAAGAAGCAACGCAGGCAGAAAUGACGAUGUACAAAGACCUGUAUCUGGAGGAAGUGAAAACCAGAAGAUGCCUAGCCAAGAAAGUGGAAAGGUUGGAAAAGCUUCUGAGGCUAGAGAGGAGGAAAGUCAGGCUUAAUGAAGAGAAAGAAAGCCAGCCCCAG